CCGCCUGCCGCGUGAGGGAAGAAGGCCUUCGGGUUGUAAAGCUCUUUUUGCAGGGAAGAAAA
This 62-nucleotide ribosomal RNA is filed under the name uncultured beta proteobacterium. RNAcentral's name for it is "partial 16S ribosomal RNA". Lineage: Bacteria; Pseudomonadati; Pseudomonadota; Betaproteobacteria. The record is from RNAcentral.